UCUGGAUGAGAUGAAGAACCCAUUUCACAGGGGAUUCAUGUGCCAUGACCUGAACCCAUGACAGAAGAACUUCUUUCGCUAAACAUGGAGGUGAACUGGGAUGCCUCAGGAAGGGAAGGUGUGGACUACUGCUUGUUGA
This 139-nucleotide long non-coding RNA is filed under the name Monodelphis domestica (gray short-tailed opossum). RNAcentral describes it as "lncRNA (ENSMODG00000043784.1)". The record is from RNAcentral. Lineage: Eukaryota; Metazoa; Chordata; Mammalia; Didelphimorphia; Didelphidae.